UGUGGUGGUCGGAUGAACUGGGAGAUUGGGAUGGACAUGUAUACACUGAUGUGUGUAUAAAACAGAUAACCAACAAAAAAGAGAAUGCUAACAAAGGAAAAAGAAGAGAUGAACACAGAAUUUUAACAAGAAACUAGAAAAUUAUUUUUUAAAAUGAGAAAUUAAUAAUUCAGUAACUAAAAGGAAAAACGGAAUAAACAGCAGAUUAGGUGAUACAGAAGAAUGCAUAAGUGAGCUGGAAGAUGGAAAUAACCCAAUCAGAACAACAAAAAGAAAAACCCAAAAGGGAAUUUCGGAUAACAUCAAGUGUUUCCAACAUUCACAUUAUACAGGUCACACCCCUGAAGGGGGAGCAAGAGAUAGAAGGGGGUCAAAAAUGCGCUUAAUAAAAUUAUGGCUGAAAACUUCACAAGCCUGAGAAAUGAAACAUAAUCAGUUAUGGGAAGCACAGUGUGUGUCAAUUAAGAUGAACACAGAUAGAUUAAUGCCAAGACAUAUCACAAUUGAAAUGGAAUAAGUUAAAGAGAGAUCUAAAGGCAGCAAUAGAAAAAGAGGCACAUACAAGGGAACCACCAUAAGGUUAUUAGCUGAUUUUUCUGCAGAAACUGCGGCCAGAAGGGAACGGCAUGAUACAUUUAAAGUGCUGAAAGGGAAAAACCUGCAACCUAGGAUACUCUACCCAGCGACACUGUCAUUGAGAACAGAAGGAGAGAUAAAGCACUUCCCAGAGAAGCAGAAACUAAAAAAGUUCACCCAUACUAAGCAACCCUAAAAGAAAUGUUAAAGGGUCUUCUCUAAGUGGGAAAGAAAAGGCUAUAUAACAAGAGUAAGUAUCUAUAGGAAAGGAAAAAUCCCACUAGUGAAGGCACAUAUAUAUUUACAGGCUGAGGAUCAAUCACUUAAAUAAGCUAGUACAAAGAUUAAAAGACAAAAACUUGUAAAAUCAAGUAUCAGUAAAGAGAUAAAAAUGAAGAUGUAAAAUAUGGCAUCAAAAACACAAAGUGUUGGGACUUCCCUGGUGGUCCAGUGGUAAAGAAUCCGCUUACAAAUGCAGGAGAUGCGGGUUUGAUCCCUGGUCAGGGAUUUAAGAUCCCACAUGCCGCUGUGCGACUAAGCCCGCAUGCCACAACUACUGAGCUUGCACGCCUCACCUGGAGCCCACAUACCACAAACUACAGAACCCACGUGCUCUGGGGCCCGCACGUCACAACUACAGAGCCAAUGCAGCCUGCAGCCAGCACGCCACGACUAGAGAGAGAAAACCUGCACGCUGCAAGUAGAGAGAAGCCCGUGCACCACACAAAAGACCCCACAUGCCUCAAUGAAGAUCCCAUGUGCCGCAACUAAGACCUGACACAGCC
RNAcentral lists this long non-coding RNA (1361 nucleotides) under Phocoena sinus (vaquita). RNAcentral describes it as "lncRNA (ENSPSNG00000015740.1)". The record is from RNAcentral. Lineage: Eukaryota; Metazoa; Chordata; Mammalia; Artiodactyla; Phocoenidae.